GUGGGGAAUUUUGGACAAUGGGCGCAAGCCUGAUCCAGCAAUGCCGCGUGCAGGAAGAAGGCCUUCGGGUUGUAAACUGCUUUUGUACGGAACGAAACGGUCCUGGUUAAUACCUGGGGCUAAUGACGGUACCGUAAGAAUAAGCACCGGCUAACUACGUGCCAGCAGCCGCGGUAAUACGUAGGGUGCAAGCGUUAAUUGGAAUUACUGGGCGUAAAGCGUGCGCAGGCGGUUUUGUAAGACAGGCGUGAAAUCCCCGGGCUCAACCUGGGAAUUGCGCUUGUGACUGCAAGGCUGGAGUGCGGCAGAGGGGGAUGGAAUUCCGCGUGUAGCAGUGAAAUGCGUAGAUAUGCGGAGGAACACCGAUGGCGAAGGCAAUCCCCUGGGCCUGCACUGACGCUCAUGCACGAAAGCGUGGGGAGCAAACAGGAUUAGAUACCCGGGUAGUCC
This 450-nucleotide ribosomal RNA is filed under the name uncultured bacterium. RNAcentral's name for it is "partial 16S ribosomal RNA". It matches the Rfam family "Bacterial small subunit ribosomal RNA", at positions 354 to 796 of the family's 1533-position model. The record is from RNAcentral.